Molecule: long non-coding RNA, 2827 nt
Organism: Equus quagga
Lineage: Eukaryota; Metazoa; Chordata; Mammalia; Perissodactyla; Equidae
Exons: 3
Source: RefSeq, a predicted model, not a curated record
GGUGGGGCAGGGGGGCGGAUGGGGGCCGGGCGCGGGCCCAGGGAUGCCCGGGACACCCGGAGGGUGCAGAACGCGGCGCGGUGACAGGCGGAGGGGGCAGAGCAGAGGACACGCGGGUCCCGGACUUUGUUCGGCGGCUCCGUGCGUAAGGCGGUGGCUCACGUUGGGCCGCGCUUUCCAGUCUACAGGCACUUGGACGCCUGUUGUCCGAGUGUCCAUCACUCCUUCCUCCCAUCGCCGCGGUGCAUUGUGGGGUUUAUGCGUCGUAUGGCUCAACUCUGGGAGGGGACCAAGGUCUAUUCUUCUGGUUUGUGGGCAUGGGUAACGGGUACGAAGAAGUGGUGGUCCUCACCACGACCCUCUGUGGGAAACAUGAAGCCCCUUUUUGCAGGUGAAGAAACAGGCACAGAGAGCAGGCGGUGAAUGCACUUGUUGGGUGUGAUGGGGCCAGGCUCGGAGGUCGUGUCAUUGAACCUCUUCCCGUACCGCUGCGGAACCAGAGGCGACGUGAUGCUGAACGUCCAUCCAGGGUAUUAAAUACCAUCUCCCACGUGCAGUCCUCAAAAGUCGCCCGGUGCGCCCAGGCAUCUUGACCCUCAGCGCUGAACCCUGCCGCCUCUAACAGCAGGUUUUCUUCACCAGAGGCAUUCUUUAUAUCAAUUUGUUCCUUUCCUUGAGUUCCGUAUUUGCCUGUUUUGUGCCAGCCAGGUCUUAAACUCCUGAAGCAUUUCCCUGAAUGGGGAAAGAAGUGAGUAGAACAUGGUGAACUGAUCGCCACAGCAAAAGCCCUGCACGGAGACCUGGGUCUUAAUCCCAGCUCUACCAAAACAGCCGACUUCACAGCUUUGGAUGAGCCAGGCUGGCAGGAAUCUUGGAGCUCUCCCAACCCACUGUCCCAAACUCCAGCGUGCAAGGAAGCUUGUUAAAUGUGAAUUCUGAUCCCACAGGUCUAGGAUAAGCCAGGAAAUGUGCAUUCUAUCAGGACUCUCAGGUGAUCUGAUUGCAGGUGGUCUACCUUUGGACCACCUUUUGAAAGAAUUCUCAGAGUGUUUCAGGACCCCUGGAAGUCCCUCAGGUGCUUUCAGGUGGAAGAGGGGACAAAACUAUUUCCACAGUAGCAGUAGGACACUAUUUGGCUUUUUCAUUCUCAUUCUCUCACGAGUGUACAGUGGAGAUUUCCAGAGGCUACAGGGCAUGUGAUAGGGAAGAGAUUAAAGGUAGAGGCAGACAGGAGAAUCCAGCUGUCUUAAGCUGUAUGAAGCCAGAUGUUACAGAGGUUCGCCAAGCUGUCAAACAGUACCGCUCAUCUCCCUGAAUUUCCAUUUCUUUUGAGAAAUUGUUAUUCAGAAGUUUCUCAGUUUUAAUUUUAAAAUGGGAAAUAUUGACUGAUAUAUCUCACAUAAACAAACAUUCUUUGGUUCCUCCAUAAUUGUUAAGAGUGUAAAGGGGUCCUGAGACCAACAAGUUUGAGAACCACUGGUCUAGCCCAACUCAUGUUUUAGAGAUGAGGAAAUUGGGGCUCAGAGAGCUGGGACUUGCUGAGGCACAUAGUGACAAACACUAGAACUGGGGAUGGGUUAGAUGCUCUCCAAGGUCUCACUCAAUAAACCUGCGAUUUGGAGAGACAGCCUCAGUCGUGGGACAGCACACCACUGCAGAACUCAGAUCAGAUGGCUUCUCAAAGGAUCUGGAACAUCUUUCUCAGAAGCUGCUUGAUGGAGAGGGAAAGGAAUGGAUUUUGGUGCCACAUGGACCAUGGGUUGCUCCGGUUCCAUUUCUUUCUAGUUAUACAAUUUGGGGUAAGUUACCAAAUCUCAGCUUCCUCAUGUGUAAAACAGGAAGGACGAGAUCUCACAGGGUAGCUCUAGGGUUAAAUGAAACAAAUGGGAACUUGCGUUCUGAUACUUAGUACCUAUAUACUAGCUUCUAUCUUUUUUAUGAAAAGGACUCAAAAAGAAGAGACAUAAACUGCUUCCUGCAAAGUUCCUGAGCGGUUCCCAUGGUUCAAGCUCAGCUGGUGAUAAAAUGGUUCAUUGUUGAAUUGUUUGCCAUAGAAAAAAUUCCGAUUGGAUAAUGACAUAACCAUGAAUUUCACAAUAUCCUGAACCAAACACACAUCAUCCCAGGCGUCUUCUCCUCUCUUCCCUGUAGUCAUUACGUGUUCUACAUCACUUGACGGUGGCCUAGGUAGGAUGCACCAGCACAUCCUAUUUUAAAUGCCUUUUCCCCCCGGAGCAUCCCAGAACAACUCUGGGAACAAACACCUCAGACCAAGUCCACCGGGUUGACCAACAUGACUUAUCCAGGGGGGCGAAACAGCCCUUUCUCUGCUAGAGCUCCAGCCUAGAUGAUGACUUUAACUUUGAAAGACAAGCAGUGCAGUCUUUUUUUCACAAUACACAACAGUGUAUGACAAAUACUCACCUCUGUCCUCUUCCCUUGGCCACCCCUAUGCACUGUGUUCUAGAGACACUGACUGACUUUCUGGUUCCAGAACAGGACGUGAGUUGUCACCUUGCUGCAUCCUACCAUCUUGCAGUCCUGGCUCACAGGAGGCUUCCCCUAUUUUCCUGAGAUGACUUAGACACCUCCCCCACAUUCCUGACAAGCCCAGUGCUUGUCGCUGCCUGCUUUCAUUUCCAUCUCCCUCAAUGCACCAUCAACCACAAGAGUAGGGACCAUGUCUAUCUUGUCCCUAAGUGCAUUUCUAUCACCUUCCCAUGUAUAACACGUAACAGAUGGCCACUAACUGUUGCUGUCAAAUGACAGGUUUACACCAGUUUUUAAAAGGGGGCACUGGAGCUGGCCCUGUGGCAUAGUGGUUAAG